UACGUAGGGGGCUAGCGUUGUCCGGAUUUAUUGGGCGUAAAGAGCGUGUAGGCGGCCAGACAGGUCCGUUGUGAAAACUCGAGGCUCAACCUCGAGAUGUCGAUGGAAACCGUCUGGCUAGAGUCCGGAAGAGGAGUGUGGAAUUCCUGGUGUAGCGGUGAAAUGCGCAGAUAUCAGGAAGAACACCUAUGGCGAAGGCAGCACUCUGGGACGGUACUGACGCUGAGACGCGAAAGCGUGGGGAGCGAACAGG
This 253-nucleotide ribosomal RNA is filed under the name uncultured bacterium. RNAcentral's name for it is "partial 16S ribosomal RNA". It matches the Rfam family "Bacterial small subunit ribosomal RNA", at positions 524 to 776 of the family's 1533-position model. The record is from RNAcentral.